UCGGGAAUUUUGGGCAAUGGGCGAAAGCCUGACCCAGCAACGCCGCGUGAGGGAUGAAGUAUUUCGGUAUGUAAACCUCGAAAGAAUGGGAAGAAUAAAUGACGGUACCAUUUAUAAGCUCCGGCUAACUACGUGCCAGCAGCCGCGGUAAUACGUAGGGAGCAAGCGUUGUUCGGAUUUACUGGGCGUAAAGGGCGCGUAGGCGGCGCGGUAAGUCACUUGUGAAAUCUCUGAGCUUAACUCAGAACGGCCAAGUGAUACUGCUGUGCUAGAGUGCGGAAAAGGCAACCGGAAUUCUUGGUGUAGCGGGGAAAUGCGUAGAUAUCAAGAGGAACACCUGAGGCGAAGGCGGGUUGCUGGGCCGACACUGACGCUGAUGCGCGAAAGCCAGGGGAGCAAAC
This 401-nucleotide ribosomal RNA is filed under the name uncultured bacterium. RNAcentral describes it as "bacterial SSU rRNA". It matches the Rfam family "Bacterial small subunit ribosomal RNA", at positions 355 to 773 of the family's 1533-position model. The record is from RNAcentral.